RNAcentral lists this long non-coding RNA (547 nucleotides) under Cricetulus griseus (Chinese hamster). RNAcentral's name for it is "lncRNA (ENSCGRG00015042328.1)". The record is from RNAcentral. Lineage: Eukaryota; Metazoa; Chordata; Mammalia; Rodentia; Cricetidae.
GAUUUUUUUGGGGAGGCGGGGGCAGGGUGGGGGGCCCGCCUUUGUCGGCUGUCUUGUAGAUGUGAGUGUGUCGCCACAGAGGCUCCUCUGAGGAUACCCACAGGACUCUCUUGCUCACCCCAGUGGACAGACUCUCCUUUGUCUAAACCUGGGUGUUGUUCUCCAGCAGUGCAGAGGCUUAGAAAACAACAAUGGUGAUGAAAACUAAUAGAAAUCAGGACAUGCUGAUGUCCACUUGUAACCGGCACUCAGGAGGCAGAAGCAGGAGGAUUAAGUGGUUCCAAACAUUCUUUCAUGUGAAACUCAUUUGGAGAGUUAUUCAACUACCAGGAGCAUCCAAAGAAUUUUUAAAGUUUCCAUUCCACCAUGCAGCUUUACUCUACAAGCACACCCAGGCUGGGGCUGGAAUCAGCAGCCAGACCCUGGGACUCAACAGCUCUCCCAAAGAGCACUUUGUGGGGAGCCUUGAGACACUGGCUAGCGGAUUCUCCAGGGUGAAGGCUCUCCGCAGGAGCAAAUGUGGAGAGACGGAAGAGCCAGGACACAU